Molecule: long non-coding RNA, 2812 nt
Filed under: Marmota monax (woodchuck)
Lineage: Eukaryota; Metazoa; Chordata; Mammalia; Rodentia; Sciuridae
Source: RNAcentral
AAUUAAAAUUUAUUUAUCCAUUUACAUUGCCUCCAGGUACAUAAUUCCAGCAAGAGACCCGAAACAAGAUGUACAAAAUGUCUCCCACUCCAUGAGGCUCCUGGUGGUGAACGUCCAGUCCUGGUCAUCCUCAUGCUCGCCACCCUCACAUGACUUGACUUCUGACUCAUGAGCUCUGCAUCUGCACCCUCCCACAACUUUAGAAGUACAAUCAUAGAAUCCAGGGCUCCAAAGUGUGGACCCUUAUCCACCCUUAGCACCUGCCCCCGCAUGGGAGAGCUCUUCUCAGCUCCUUUGAGAUGGAGAUGCAGGUGGCAUGCAGGUAAGAUGAGGAGAAGGAGGACCUGAGGUCCCUACUUUCUGCUCCAUGCUUCUGGGGGAGUCCAGGCCUGGCCAUCCACCGUCUCCAUGCUCAGGGCCAAGCAGCUGCAGAGGCUGCAGGUUGCUCUGAGGUGGGACAGACUAUGCAGGGUCACUGUUGGUAAUGAUGUUUUCAAGUGCUCAUGGAUGGUGUGGUUGCCAUGGUGAUGCCCUUGGUUCUGAACAGGCAGUAGCCUCUCUUGAGUUGUGAGUCAGGUUCUGUUUUAUUUUUUUAAAAACAAAACCAGGCGCCCUGACCUACGGGAGACAAAGCGGAGCUGCAGGUGGAGGCCACGGCGUCACUGCGGGGGUGUGAAUCAGGGGUGCUAUGUGCAGUCCUGGGGUCCCCUGAUGUCAGCUGGCCCCGCUUGCUGUGGGCCUGGGAGCAUCCACAGAGGUAAGCGGGGAGGCCAGACCUCAAUCUGUGGCCCAGGAAGUGAACACAAUCAGAACCCACUCUCCUGGUUGGAAGCCACUUACUAGAAGGCAGGUCCCAUUCCUUAGCUGCAGUCCCAGGACCAAAAUGGAACCUCCAGGGACUCUGCCCUGCUCCUCAGACACCGGAGUCUUCAGGGCCCACAGAGGUGGAGCAUGCGCUGGCCAGCCUCAGCCAAAUGAAGGACAGGGCCUGGCCCAGAGAUGACCAGUGCUGAGCUGGCCCACCCACGAGUGUGACACACAGGAGCACCCGCCCCGACGUCCAGGCUGAACCCAGUCAUCCCUUUGAGAGGGGCAGGGUCCUGGAAAGACCAGGGAGGCCACAAAAAUGUUCUCCCAGGGCCUGAACUUCUGGGGUGGGGCUCCCUUUCCCAGCACUCCACAGGGGAGGGGUAAAGGCAGUAAUGACUCGGGCCUCAAUGCCGGGCCUUGUGUCACCCUCCAGGGGAAUGAUACAGGAACCCUCUUCCUUGGCUUGGACACUGUCCCAGCACCUUAGACCUAUAGGUGUAGGGGCCAGGAAGCCUGCUCAUGUGUCUGGGCUCCCAGAGAUUGAGUAGGAGGGAUUGAUUCCUCCCUCUCCCACAGUCUGAUGGCCAGAAGACUUGCCCCCUAACCAACCCUGGACUCCCAGUCCUGCUCCACGUCGGCCUUCGUUAUUUCGCGUUAUUGAUUAUAGUGGAUAGGUCAGUAGGUGCCGAGCUCUAUGUGACUGAGCUCCCACCCCCAUCGUAGUGUGGGGUGUGAUGUAGUCAUAGCACCUUCUCCCAGGGCAGCUGGAGGGUGAAAUGCAAUCGUAUUUGCAGAUGUUUCACACAGAACCUGGCCGGCGCAGACAAGCAGAAGUGACUCUUACCAGUGCUGGCUUUUGUUCAGGCCCUUAGCCCAUCUUGCCUGGCUAACGGCUACAGUCUCUUGACGUCACUGGUCAAUUGCAGUCUUGCUCCUCUCCAAUCCAUUGUCCAUGCCACAGCGGAGUGAUUUAUCUCAAUGCAGUCCCAACCAUGUGAUUUUCCUCCGUAAAAUCUACCGAUGGCUCUCAUUUGCCUUCAGGGUAACGCUUAGAUGGUCAACAAGGUCCCUCAACGUCUAGCCAUUGGCUGCCCUCUCCUGCCCCGUAUUUCCUCACACGUUCCUGGCCAGAAGCAAGUGUGAGAAGUGUUCUCCAGACACUUCUGAUUCUAGCCUCAUCUGUACCUUCAGAAUUUUUGCCGCAUUCUUCCCUUGGUCCAGAGCACCCUUUCUCUUUCUGGGCACCUAGCAAACACCAGCCCCUCCCCUUCAAGAACACAUCCUGAAAAUUCCCACCAUCCUGAAACCUCUCUUCAAGCACAGAGUCCACCACUUCCUCCUCUGAGCCACUUUGGUGCCUUCCAUAAAGACAAUUACCCAUGACACUGCAAUGAUUGCUGUCCAUGCCUGAGACCCUUUCCAGUUUCAUGAGGAAGCAUGGAUUCUAAUUUCCAUAUCCCUGGAACACACGGGAUCAUCACAUCUAGAGAUGAGCGUCCCUAGAUGAAUGAAUGAAGACAUAGAAGAGGAAACUGAGGCCCAGACAGGAGUAGUGACAUGGCUGACGUGGAGUCGGGAAUCCUGGAACUCCAGCGGCUCUGACUCCAGGGACUCUGGACCAUUCAUUUGUUCCUCAGUCACUUCCAAAGCACCAGUGAGACUCCAGACACUGUGUUGUACCCUGAUACAAAGAUCCAGGAGCCACCUGGCCCUCAGGAGCCCACAGGCAGGUGGAACAGAAUGACCAUGUCCUUGAUUACAAACUGUGACGGAGGGUGUAGAAGGAGCUGCAGGAAAUCCAGGGACAUGGUGGUGAGAGGAAGCCACUAGCUCGGGCUGAAUGUUUGUUUCCCCGUCAAAAUUCGUACAUUGAGGGGCUGGGAUUGUGGCGCAGUGGUAGAGUGCUCGCCUUGUAUGCGUGAGACACUGGGUUUGAUCCUCAGCAUCACAUAAAUAUAAAAUAAAGAUAUUGUGUCCAUCUAAAACUAAAAUAAAUAAAUAU